ACAGCUUCCACAUCCUCUGAUCAAAGGCGCCACUGCAUUCCCUUCAGCACCGUCAGGGCUCAGCUCCAAUUUUUUCUCCUCGCCGCCAAAGUCGUUUUUCUGUUCUUUUUCAUCACACGUGUUGACUCCUUGAAUCAAAGCACCCUCCUUCGGAUUUUCACUAGCAAAAUUAGCAAGGCCACUAUAUCCCUUCUUUCUCAAAGUUUCAGAAUAUAUAAAACCAAGUAUAAUACCAGGGAUCACAAACCAAUCUUCUUGUACCUAACAUAUAAAGGACAAAAAUUUAACGUCGUCACAACCCACAAAACAUGGUAAAUUCUUGAGUAUAGUUUGAAUAUAAGAUUUUUUACCUUAUAAAUUCCAUAUUUUAAGUCCACCAAUGCCACCGCGCGGCCGUAUGGGUCCUCUGCUGAGAAUUGAACUGCUGUGAGAAAAUCUAGGUCACUUCUACUCUUCUCGCAGUGCUUUGGUUCAUAUUCCAGUUUUCUUCCAGGGAAAUAUCUUACCUGUUCCAAAAGAUAAUGAUAAUAUUUAUUGCUUUAUUAAAAUUAUUUGCUCACAAGCAGAAUAAAUCUUUAAACAAUAUGCAUCCUGGUUGAUUACUAACUUAAGGUUCAUUUAGAUUAUUGGAUUACUGAUAUUAGACUAUGACUUUCUUCUCUGUCAAAAAAAAAAAAAAAAAGACUAUGACUUUCUUCAAGUGUCGAUUCCUGNCAAAAAUUUAACGUCGUCACAACCCACAAAACAUGGUAAAUUCUUGAGUAUAGUUUGAAUAUAAGAUUUUUUACCUUAUAAAUUCCAUAUUUUAAGUCCACCAAUGCCACCGCGCGGCCGUAUGGGUCCUCUGCUGAGAAUUGAACUGCUGUGAGAAAAUCUAGGUCACUUCUACUCUUCUCGCAGUGCUUUGGUUCAUAUUCCAGUUUUCUUCCAGGGAAAUAUCUUACCUGUUCCAAAAGAUAAUGAUAAUAUUUAUUGCUUUAUUAAAAUUAUUUGCUCACAAGCAGAAUAAAUCUUUAAACAAUAUGCAUCCUGGUUGAUUACUAACUUAAGGUUCAUUUAGAUUAUUGGAUUACUGAUAUUAGACUAUGACUUUCUUCUCUGUCAAAAAAAAAAAAAAAAAGACUAUGACUUUCUUCAAGUGUCGAUUCCUGGAUUAGUGUUUCUAAUCAAUUGCAUACUUUAUUCAACAGAACUGAUAUUUCAUAAUACUUUUUUGCUAAUUAAAAUAAGAUAAUUAUUAUAUAAAAUUUAUGCCACUACAUAUAUCCUAUCUUCACUAACUAUGUAGGCCAUGUCUGGUAACAAGGACUAUAAGCUCCGAUUAUUUACAAUUUGCACGCACUAUACUUUAAAAUAAUAUUAAUACCCCCAGACAAGUAUGUGGUAAUAUAUUUUGAUGAUAAUUUUCGAACACUUUCUAAUUAAUUCUUUAGAAACUAUUGAUCCCGCUCUUUCCCUAUGUAUUACAUGAAGAAACCAUUUACAAAGUGGUUGAAAUCUAGUUCAGGGAAAAACUAGAGCAAUAAAUAUGGUUACAGAAUAUAGGAUAUAGUCAAAUGGCCCAGGGAUUAGCAUUUUCCUCAAAAAAAACAUAGCUAUAAUGAAAAAAUUACAUUUCAGUAUAUCACAAAACAAAUUAUAAGCUCUUUUUAACACAUUUACCAGAACUUUAUCAUAUUCACAAUUGAUAUUAGUUAGAUGAAUGCUUAUAAUCAAUUCAAGAAAUCGUUCAAGUAUUCCAGAUUAGAAGAAAUGUCUAAGAUUUCGCUCGAUACAACAUCAUAGAUAAGCUAGAUUGCUGAACAGUCUUUCUAUAAAAAUAAUGAACUGGAUUAGCUCAUAUAAUUGUGUGAUUAAGCAUAAACAAAUGUUUUUAUAGUUGACUUGCAUGAAAAAACAAGUUAGUCUUACCGUGCGGUGACCUGUAAGCUCAAAAAGGGGAACUCCAAUAUCAACACUAGUAAGAAUUCGAACAGACCAUGAAGAAUCUAUGAAAUACCACUUUGUUCCCACCAAUUUUGCAAGAGUGUGUGUUUCGCCUGAUUCAGUGAUGCCAAUCACAUCUUUCUUUAAAAGUUCAUCACCCGGUUCUUUAAAUUCUCUAUUGUCCCUGUAGUGCAGGAGAAACCAAAAAUUAAGAGUAGGAAAAGACUAAAUUAGUAUCAUGCCAGAUAUCAGAUAGUUAUUCAGGGCUUUUAAUGCAAUAAGAACAUGGUAAACUAAAUUUCCCUCUGAUUACAUUAAUUUCUUCUAAAAUGUCAUAGUUAACUGAAAAAUAUAAUUUUGAUUACAGUUCCUCCUAGGUACGGUAACCAAAUUUUGCAGAAGUUCACGACUGUAUCUGUAACUUCUCAAAAAUACGAAAUUACACCUUUUAUCCAUGUUAUGACAAUACAGAUGCAAUCUAGCUAACAAAAAUUCAUCAAACUAAACCGGAAACACAAUUAUCAAUCGAAGGUAGUACACAUAAAUGAAUACCUCAUUUGAAGGCUAAUGAGCUUAUUCCCAUUUUCAUCGCUGAUGUGUGUCCAACUCUUAGCAAAUUGAACUUCCGGAAGAGGUGAAAAACGGGAACCCUUCAAGAAUGGAGGAGAACGAACCAUGUGAAGCACACGUGUUGCUGGGCUUGGAAUAUUAAAUGAGAGGGCUGCUCUGAUACAGAUUGGAUUCGAACUGACAAGACCAGAGGGAGGAACAACCUCCAACCAUUUUUCCACUGAGAUACUGGAGACAGGAACGAGAAAAUCUUCUAGUGAGAUAGUAGCGGAUCCUAAAGCUUUGGGUUUUGAUAUUGGUAAGUUGGAAUUUGAGUGCACGAAAACUUCAAAAAGCAAGAGGCCAGAAGGUUCACAAUUGAAUAAUGCAACUUGUUUCUCCCCAUACUCAGAAAAUAUAUUCAGUUUUCUCUUCGUGUUAAAUAUUGCAUCUGGCUGUGCCUUGCUAAAAGAGACGUAGACACUUCCCUUGAGUUCUUCAGGUAAGUUCUUUAUCUCAACAAACUCUGUAAGUGUUCUUACUACAUGAUUGGUUAGAAAGAUUAUCCUGUAGACCAGAAUUAGGAAACAGAGAUGCAAAGUAAGUGAUAUAAAGUGUUUUUCUUCUGCUCACUAGAAAGAGCUGCCAUGGGUACUAAAGUUACUCAUCACAAAAUGUAUUCAGAGCGAGGAAAUUUUCGGAAGUUGAGACUUAAGUCUAGCAAAUGAUUUUGGAGACACUGAAGCUAGAUUCUUGAACAAAUAUAGAAGAUAAAGCUAAGGAUGUCCGUUAAUUUAAGCAAAUUGUUACAUCCCAGAAACAUUUCUACCAGUCCCAUUCUUUUGCAGCUAGAGACAGGAGAGAACGCAUCUAGUUAAUAUAUGAUCAAACACAUAUAAUGCAGCUGCGUAGAGAAAUACGAAUUUGGAUAAGAAUUUACCUCCACAGACUUCAGCUCAGGAAGACUUAUGAUUUGUUGCUGCACAUCAGUCGAUACAAUCUUAUUGGUCAUGGAUUUUGACACAAAUGGGAUGGUUAUCAGAGGAGAUGGAGCAGCCCCUCUAUACAUUGAGCCUGAUCUCCAAUAUCUUGAGCCAAAUAUUUGCUCCCACUGGCUUGUAGUUUCAGAGAAACCAACAUCCAGCUUUUGCCCUUUUGUUCUGUCCGAGUCUGUGUCGUCAUGUUUCAAAACCUUCCCAAUAAGCUUGACCAUGUCUUUGCAAUAAGACACUGGGUGCAACUGGUGGGAAUGCCAUAUCAAGUCAAUGUCGUAGGUGGGAACACAGAAGCGUUUGAGCAUAUGCUCUCUGUUUUUGUUAAUAAGAUGCAGAAAACCUUUAUAUCUGGCCACGACUGCCUCAAGAAAUAAGUCAUUCUUCAUAUGGGGUCUGGAAACCUGGUAAACAAUACUAGUUAGAAAGAUGAUAUAGAUUACAAUACACAUUCAAUAUCUUAUUAGUGAAUUCCUUUAGAAUAUCUUUAAAUGUAAAUGAGCUAAUUGGUUCAAAUUGAAAGAAAGCUGCAAGAAGUAAAUACUUAACUACGAUUAGAACUUAAGUACCGUCAUUUAUUUGCAAUUUAGAAUAAUUGAAAUCUCUGACUCUCUGUUACUUGAAUACUAUAUGCCAAGAGGCCCAAGACAGAUCUUCAGUUGCAGUAAUAGUCUAACAGAAUAUCAAAAACCUUAAAAUAACAGAGAAAAGCUGAGCAGAAGCUAUGCAUGGACCACACUUGAUCAUUAUAGAAGGCAAGAAAUAUGCUAUUCAUACACAAUAUCUAGAGGCUGUAAAGAGAAAAAACACACACAAUUCUAUAAAAAUGAAUUCGACCACAACAUAAAUCAUGCAUAGAUAUAGGAGUUUCGGUGUCCAACAUUGUAACAUGGAAUAUUGAUAACAAGAUCAUGUCCUAUAUUUACCUGGUAGAAGAAUGGACUCUGUCUUUCAAUAGCUAAAACAAGAUCGUAUGUGGUGUGCUUUUCAGCAUCAGCUGCGUUGUCUAAUGUUUUGUCCCAGCAAGAUGUAUCGGGGUCAAAGCUAUAGGGCUCGUCUGGGUACAACCUUCCCCAAAUCUUUUCUGUCUCUCUACCCGAAGUUCCUUCAAUAGAUGAUAAAACAUUGCAAUUAUCAAGAAUCCUUCCAUAAAACUUCUUGCAAUCAGAUAUAUAUCUUACCUGAAGAAGAAACAAAGGAUUGCAGUUAUCAGUCUAAAUAUAAUAUGUUUGAAUGAAAUUUAUGAACAACUAUAUACUACAACAGCACAGAAGCAUACUGGAUUAAGCCUGUGGCAGUGCCAAACCCAUUCACAAUCAAGAGGAACAACCAAAGGUCCUUUAGAGAUCUGUGACUCGGCAUUUUUAGCAAGCAACGGAAGCCAACAAGCAUUAUACCUGAAAUUCAAUCACAACAAGUUAGUAAUCCUAUCAAUGCAGAUUACAAGCUGAAAUCAAAACACAUCAAUUUGAGUACUAAUGCCGAAAUUUUCCACAAACCUCAUCAUCAAAAUUUUGCACUUUAUGCAUCAACACAUACCACAUUCAAUACCUUACAACUAUAUGCAUCAACAACCUUAUGAAUUGAAAACAAUUACACAAAAUACCUGUAAAUUGAUCUUUGUAGUGCAGGGCCUUUGUAAAGCCAGCGAUUACGAUCAACAGCUGCAAGAAACUGAAGCUGCUGUUUAGCAGUAGCCACAAGAUCCUCACUUAUAACAAUCUGUUGAGCUUUGCUCCACUCUAUCUCCUCAACACCAACCUUAGAUUUCUCAACAAGUAACUCAACGAGUAAAUCUUGAAGUCGAGAGAAAAAAGGGAAAUGGAGUUUGGGUUUAGAGGGAUGAUCAGGGUUAGGUUUUGUGGAGAAGUGAGAAGUUGCAUGAAAACAAAAGGGUGCAAGACAACAAGUAUGAGCUGAAGCUGCGGAAAGUCCAAGAAAUCGAGAAGUUGAUGUCAAGAACUUCUUCAUCAUAUCUCUACUUGUGAAACAUUUAGCUGGCAGAACGCAAAAGAGCAGAGUAUCAUCAAUUCAGGCCCAGAAUUUUGAUUCACUUCUAUGUUAUUCUUCUUGGCCAAGAAGUAACUAAUUUCCAAUCCCAUUACUACUCCUGCUGCUUUGGUACAGUUUGAACCAGUUUUCUACCGGAAGUUUAUUGCCAGAUGUGAUCAGCAAGAAGAAGAAUGCAAGGAUUGUCCCCGGUUCAUCGAAGGUGUGAGAAUAAGCUAAUUUCAAAUGAGCAAGAAUGGUAAAGUGCAAGUGUUUGUGUGUGUAUCGAGUCAAUGAUCAGCAGAAUGGUAAAGUGCAAGUCUUUUAAUAAGCCUAGAACCAACAGCAGAAUGGUAAAGUGCAAGUCUUUUAAUAAGCCUAGAACCAACAGCAGAAUGGUAAAGUGCAAGUCUUUUAAUAAGCCUAGAACCAACAGCAGAAUGGUAAAGUGCAAGUCUUUUAAUAAGCCUAGAACCAACUCCCUUGAACAUGUCCGUCCAAUAGCGAAGUGGGGGAACGGUUCCACCGAAUCCGGAGGAAUAUGUACGUUGGAUUUAAGUUUUUCUCAAAACCGAAGUGGACCGAACUUUUAUUCAAAACCGAACAAAAUCAAUCGAAUUAUUGCAGUUCGAUUUCGGUUUAAAAAAAGUCAUAUUUUUUAAAAACCCUGUACCGUCCAAAUCGAAAUUUUGAAAAAAAAUGAAAUCAAACCGAACCGAAAUUAUACGGUUUGGUUCAGUUCAGUUUUGUUCACCUCUAACGUUGGAAGCUAACGUCUCUUCUUCUGUAACCAGGACUGUUCACGAAUCAAGCUGUUCGCGAACAAGCUCAAGCUCGCCUCAAUAAAAGCUCGGUUCGGCUCGAUUCGUUAAGAACUCGAGCUCCGAGUUCGUUAAGAAAACAAGCUCGAGUCAAGUUUUUAGCGUGUUCGACUCGAGCUCGGCUCGAGCUCAGCCCUAGUAUUGACAGAAGGAGAGACAUAAUUUCGACGAGUGUUGUGGAUCAAAAUAAUCUGAAUCAAUGAAAUAUAAUGGGUGAAUUCACAUUAUCUCCCUCCUAAUAGAAAAAAAAUAAUCACAAACCAGUAUAUUAUAAUAUGAAGUGAUUAUCUUACAAUGAGAUGUUGCAAAACAAUUUAUUUAGAAACACUUGCAACAAUGAACAAUUGAAAAUGCUGACCAACAUAGAGCACCAAGAGCAGGAUAGAAAUAGCAUACAACACUGAAAGAUGGUUAAUGGUCGACUUGUAUACAGACUCGGAAGAUUAAUUCAUUAUGAGACAUGGAUUCCCCUUAUUAUGCAGAUUUACACACCAAGAAUUAACAACUAUUUCAAAGUGCAGCUCUUCAGAGACAUAGCAUGCUCCUAGUAGACUGCUUAAAGUACGAAACUUACUAUGCCAUUAUUGCUUCACAUUGCAUGUUUGCUUGAUUGCCAUCGAUGCUGGCAGGCGCUAGUCUAUUUCCACAUCCACCACCACCACAGCUGCCACAACCACCUCCACAGCCUCCACUCGCUGCCAUAUUUCCACAACCUCCUCCACAGCCGCCACAACCACCUCCACAGCCGCCACAACCACCACUCUUCACCAUAUUUCCACAGCCACCGCUGCCACCACAGCCUCCACAACCGCUGCUGCCACCACAACCUCCACAACCACCACUUUUCAACAUAUUUCCACAUUCACCUCCACAACCACUACCACAUCCACCGAAAUCCACAGUCCUCGUCACAUUACCGCACUCACUGCCACAGUUUCCACAUCCUCCGAUUAAAGGUGCCACUGCAUUCCCUUCAGCACCUUCAGGGAUCAGCUCCGAUCCUUUCUCCUCACCGCAAAAGUCAGUUUUCUGUUCUUUUUCAUCACAGGUGUUGACUCCUUGAAUCAAAGCACCCUCCUUUGGAUUUUCACUAGCAAAAUUAGCAAGGCCACUAUAUCCUUUCUUUCUCAAAGUUUCAGAAUAUAUAAAACCAAGUAUAAUACCAGGGAUCACAAACCAAUCUUCU
RNAcentral lists this long non-coding RNA (7463 nucleotides) under Daucus carota (carrot). RNAcentral describes it as "long non-coding RNA (DCAR_LNC005253)". Lineage: Eukaryota; Viridiplantae; Streptophyta; Magnoliopsida; Apiales; Apiaceae. The record is from RNAcentral.